This 407-nucleotide ribosomal RNA is filed under the name bacterium enrichment culture clone ALO1_GLFRUDD03F5GTQ. RNAcentral describes it as "bacterial SSU rRNA". It matches the Rfam family "Bacterial small subunit ribosomal RNA", at positions 9 to 416 of the family's 1533-position model. The record is from RNAcentral. RNAcentral also lists the same sequence under 2 other names.
GAGUUUGAUCUUGGCUCAGAUUGAACGCUGGCGGCAUGCCUUACACAUGCAAGUCGAACGGCAGCACGGGAGCUUGCUCCUGGUGGCGAGUGGCGAACGGGUGAGUAAUGCAUCGGAACGUAUCCUGGAGUGGGGGAUAACGUAGCGAAAGUUACGCUAAUACCGCAUAUUCUGUGAGCAGGAAAGCGGGGGACCUUCGGGCCUCGCGCUCUUGGAGCGGCCGAUGUCGGAUUAGCUAGUUGGUGAGGUAAAGGCUCACCAAGGCGACGAUCCGUAGCAGGUCUGAGAGGAUGAUCUGCCACACUGGAACUGAGACACGGUCCAGACUCCUACGGGAGGCAGCAGUGGGGAAUUUUGGACAAUGGGGGCAACCCUGAUCCAGCCAUGCCGCGUGAGUGAAGAGGGCC